UACGUAGGGGGCAAGCGUUGUCCGGAAUUAUUGGGCGUAAAGAGCGCGUAGGCGGUCCGGUAAGUCGGCUGUGAAAGUCAAGGGCUCAACCCGGAGACGCCACCCGAUACUGUCGUGACUGGAGUCCGGUAGGGGAGUGGGGAAUUCCUGGUGUAGCGGUGAAAUGCGCAGAUAUCAGGAGGAACACCGGUGGCGAAGGCGCCACUCUGGGCCGGUACUGACGCUGAGGAGCGAAAGCGUGGGUAGCAAACAGG
Molecule: ribosomal RNA, 254 nt
Filed under: uncultured bacterium
Lineage: Bacteria
Description: partial 16S ribosomal RNA
Rfam family: Bacterial small subunit ribosomal RNA
Source: RNAcentral